UACGUAGGUGGAGAGCGUUGUCCGGAUUUACUGGGCGUAAAGGGAGCGUAGGCGGACUUUUAAGUGAGAUGUGAAAUACCCGGGCUUAACUUGGGUGCUGCAUUUCAAACUGGAAGUCUAGAGUGCAGGAGAGGAGAAUGGAAUUCCUAGUGUAGCGGUGAAAUGCGUAGAGAUUAGGAAGAACACCAGUGGCGAAGGCGAUUCUCUGGACUGUAACUGACGCUGAGGCUCGAAAGCGUGGGGAGCAAACAGGAUUAGAUACCCCGGUAGUCCCU
Molecule: ribosomal RNA, 275 nt
Filed under: uncultured prokaryote
Description: partial 16S ribosomal RNA
Rfam family: Bacterial small subunit ribosomal RNA
Source: RNAcentral